RNAcentral lists this ribosomal RNA (354 nucleotides) under uncultured Archaeorhizomycetes. Its description in RNAcentral is "eukaryotic LSU rRNA". It matches the Rfam family "Eukaryotic large subunit ribosomal RNA", at positions 80 to 432 of the family's 3401-position model. The record is from RNAcentral. Lineage: Eukaryota; Fungi; Ascomycota; Archaeorhizomycetes.
CCAGUAGUGGCGAAUGAAGCGGGAAAAGCUCAAGUUUGAAAUCUGAAGUCCACUUCAGAGUUGUAAGCUGAAGAGGUGUCGACCGACUUGGUCCGGGCCCAACUUCCUUGGAACAGGAGGUCAUGGAGGGUGAGAACCCCGUCUGUGGCUCGGGUGCCGUAGUCCUUGUGUCGUGCCCUCGAAGAGUCGGGUUGUUUGGGAAUGCAGCUCAAAAUGGGUGGUAAAUUUCAUCUAAGGCUAAAUAUUGGCGAGAGACCGAUAGCAAACAAGUAGAGUGAUCGAAAGAUGAAAAGUACUUUGAAAAGAGAGUGAAACAGUACGUGAAAUUGUUGAAAGGGAAGCGUUUGGCAUCAG